AUGACCCGGCCAGGUGUGGCCAAUAAGGUUGGACGGCCGCCCUCUUCAGCCACAAGGACAGGAACUGCUGUGAAGAUACACAAAUUAUUUGUAUCACUGUGGUACACGUUUGGUGGAGGAACCAGACUGGAUGUUGGAAGUGAUGUCCGUCCCUCCCUGACAGUCCUGUCCAGUGGGGAGCUGCAGCAGGGGACGGCCACACUCAUGUGUCUGGCCAACAAGGGCUUCCCCUCAGACUGGAGUCUGUCCUGGAAGGUGGACGGCAGCAGCAGCAGCAGCAGCUGGGAGGAGAGCAGGAGCCCCGGGGUGCUGCAGGAGGACGGCCACUACAGCUGGAGCAGCACCCUGAGACUCCCUGCAGACCAGUGGACCAAGGUGCUCUCUGUGACCUGUGAGGCCACCCAGGGCUCCCAGACUCCAGUCUCAGAGACCCUGAGGAGAGACCAGUGCUCCCAGUCCUGA
Molecule: non-coding RNA, 462 nt
Organism: Cololabis saira (Pacific saury)
Lineage: Eukaryota; Metazoa; Chordata; Actinopteri; Beloniformes; Belonidae
Source: the annotation of a RefSeq genome assembly